This 547-nucleotide ribosomal RNA is filed under the name uncultured bacterium. Its description in RNAcentral is "bacterial SSU rRNA". It matches the Rfam family "Bacterial small subunit ribosomal RNA", at positions 354 to 892 of the family's 1533-position model. The record is from RNAcentral.
GUGGGGAAUUGUUCGCAAUGGGCGCAAGCUNNACGACGCAACGCCGCGUGGAGGACGAAGAUCUUCNGGUCGUAAACUCCUGUCGAGUGGAAAGAAUAAUUCGGGGAUGAAUACUCCCCGGAAUUGACGGUACCACUAAAGGAAGCCCCGGCUAACUCCGUGCCAGCAGCCGCGGUAAUACGGGGGGGGCAAGCGUUGUUCGGAAUUACUGGGCGUAAAGGGCUCGUAGGCGGCCAACUAAGUCAGACGUGAAAUCCCCAGGCUCAACCUGGGAACUGCGUCCGAUACUGGAUGGCUUGAAUUCGGGAGAGGGAUGCAGAAUUCCAGGUGUAGCGGUGAAAUGCGUAGAUAUCUGGAGGAAUACCGGUGGCGAAGGCGGCAUCCUGGACCGACAUUGACGCUGAGGAGCGAAAGCUAGGGGAGCAAACGGGAUUAGAUACCCGGUAGUCCUAGCCCUAAACGAUGAAUGCUUGGUGUGGCGGGUAUCGAUCCCUGCCGUGCCGAAGCUAACGCAUUAAGCAUUCCGCCUGGGGAGUACGGUCGCAAG